AUGGAGGUGACAAGAGAUUGCCAGAGACAUGAGCUUGACUCUAGAUGGAGAAUGAUGGCCAAGUUUGUUUGAGACAGGAGCUCAUGUAGCUUGAACUUGCUAUGAAGCUACGAAGGAUGACCUUGAACUCCAGUUCGAGAAGGGUGAUCUUUUUACCCCAGUGUUUGGCUUGCAGACAGCAGCCUAUGUCUGAGCCCGGGGAUCAUUCUUCUGCUUGGUGUAGCCUAUCACUGAGGUUUGACGGAGGCUAUUAUUAACUCUCCAGGCUUCUGUGAGGCUCCUUUGAAGAAGCUCUGGCUCUGUUGAAUCAUGAGGUUGUGUCUGGAAGCAUCUUCCUGUCUUCACUUCUCCCGGGCCCUUUGUCUCUGCAGUAUUUGUCUCUGAGGCAGCAAGCAGCUCUCCUGCAAACAGUUGGCCCUGGAGGGCUGGAUGGAUGGCGUGGCUGGUGCUGAAGAGGCAGAUGGCUUGGUUCAUUAGGAGCAGGCCAUAUGUCCAUCAGAUGGGCAUGUCCAAAACUCACUAAUUUGGACAAACCAGCUCAUUCAGAUUGGCGAGUGUUCACCGAGCCAUGGUGCUAGGGGCUGGAGAUUUGAAGGCUGGUGGCAUCUCCCCCUCAGCACGUCAGCAUCUGUCCUGAAAGGAAAUUCUAUUGCUUUGUCGAGUCAUGAGCAGCCAGGUUUCUCCCUUACGUUGCUAGGACAUCUCUUAAUUAAAAAACAAAAACAAUUU
RNAcentral lists this long non-coding RNA (729 nucleotides) under Mus musculus (house mouse). RNAcentral's name for it is "RIKEN cDNA 4930543I03 gene". The record is from RNAcentral. Lineage: Eukaryota; Metazoa; Chordata; Mammalia; Rodentia; Muridae.